This 459-nucleotide ribosomal RNA is filed under the name uncultured bacterium. Its description in RNAcentral is "partial 16S ribosomal RNA". It matches the Rfam family "Bacterial small subunit ribosomal RNA", at positions 338 to 795 of the family's 1533-position model. The record is from RNAcentral.
CCUACGGGUGGCAGCAGUGAGGAAUAUUGGUCAAUGGCCGGAAGGCUGAACCAGCCAAGCCGCGUGAAGGACGAAGGUGCCAAGCAUUGUAAACUUCUUUUGUCAAGGGACAAAAUCAGGCUCGAGUGCCUGACCGAGGGUACUUGAAGAAAAAGCAUCGGCUAACUCCGUGCCAGUAGCCGCGGUAAUACGGAGGAUGCGAGCGUUAUCCGGAUUUAUUGGGUUUAAAGGGUGCGUAGGGGGACUGUUAAGUCAGUGGUAAAAGCCGGGGGCUCAACCCCGGCGAGCCGUUGAAACUGGCUGUCGUGAGAUGUCGAGAGGUAUGCGGAAUGCGCAGUGUAGCGGUGAAAUGCUUAGAUAUUGCGCAGAACUCCGAUUGCGAAGGCAGCAUACCGGCGGCGCUCUGACGCUGAGGCACGAAAGCGUGGGUAUCGAACAGGAUUAGAUACCCCAGUAGUC